This 3798-nucleotide long non-coding RNA is filed under the name Homo sapiens (human). Its description in RNAcentral is "non-protein coding lnc-B3GNT10-21:4". Lineage: Eukaryota; Metazoa; Chordata; Mammalia; Primates; Hominidae. The record is from RNAcentral.
GUUAGGGCCGUGUCAACUGUAGCCAGUGGUUGCGGCUCCCUCAGUCUGGCGUCAUCUAGGUCGCUGCUCAGGGAAAUGCGGAGGCCAGUAGGCUUACGUGUUUACCGCGUAGGGCAAAGCCUUGCCAAAUUCCCGGCCAGCGGAGCGGCGAGGGUGGGGACUCACGGGAAGUUAAACAGCCUCGUCGGCGUCCUCGAGGCUCCAAAACCAGGCUCUAGGCGGGGACGACUGCAGCCGUUAUGGAGGCCACCGCGGCUACGGCCGCGGCUGAGGCCUCCCCAGGUGGAGCGGUGGCCUGGAGGGGAAUCUUGAUCCUGGGCCAGCCACCUGUCAAGAGGAGGCGGAGCGUCAUGCCUCUGGAAGACUGGAUGAAUAUUCUCCAGGAGCCUGACGAAGGCGAAGAAGUCUUUGCAGAGGAAAUUGAAUGCUGUCUGAUGCUACAAUUCAUAUGGAUCCUUUCCUGGAUUGAAGCCUGACUUUUAAAAAAGGUUUCAAUAAAUUGCUUAUACCUAUGAAGAGAUGCAAAAGAACCUUCAAAAUAAAGCAAAGGACUUGAAGAAAGAGAAGGAAGACAUGAAGAAGAGGAUGUCAUUUAGGUGAAGGGCCAUGCUGGAUAAGGAGCUGGCUGCCUCUGUGAACAUCCUACUCAAGGCAUCUUCACUGCUGUACAUCCUUUUGAAAUCCCAGAGAUCUUCAGUCUCCCUGUGGAUUAAGGAGAUGUGCAGUAUUUAAAGUGGCUUCAGGAAGGCAUGGAAGAGGACUGAGUGGGGAAAGCUUUUUGUGCAUGCUGCUGGCUACCUCCAGCGGCUGCCUCCAGCCUCCAUCAGCUGCACUCUGGGGAAGAGGAGGCUGCCUUCUACCUCCCAGCAUCUCUGGAUUUCAUGUUCCUGUCAGCACAGAGGAGCUAAAUGGCCUGUAGAGGCUGAAGGUCUGAGGCUCCUAAAGCUGGAAGAAAAGGCUGGGCCAGUCAGGCCAAGCAAGAACACAGUGUAACUUGUCUCUGAGUGCUUCAUGGUUAAGGGGGCUAAGCAGGCACAAGGGCAUGAGGAUGGUUAUAUGUACAGACUGAGGGGAAGAAGCAGUGAAGAUGAGACUUGCCAUCUUCUUGAGUCAGUAGGCCUGCCUCAGGUGCCUAGGAUGUAAUUGCUCUGCUGCUUCUCAUGGGGAGGAGUGGCCCUCAUGACCUUGUUUACCUGGAAGAGUGUGGGAUGAAUGCCUCCUCCUAUGGGGACUCGCAAGUGCUUUAGCAAAAGGAUAAAUUGCUAAUUGUGGCAUUUCGUGGAUCAGCAGGAUUAUUUCUCCUUGCUAAAGAGGAUUUUGUUGGUCCUGAAUUCUGAGGAGGUGGGACUAGGAAUGGGCUCCAUGAGCCUGUGUAUGACUCAGGGAAUAUUAGGACUUUGGCACAGCCUCAUGGGUUGGGAGUAAGUCUUGGCUCUUCCCUAGCCUGAAUGACAGACAUCAGAUCAUUCUGGUGCUUUGUCCAUGAAGAUGUAGAUUCUGAGCCCACCCAACUAAUCUUUUCACUUGAGCACAGAAACAGCCCCGGGAAUCGGACAGACCCGUGUCUUUCAGGUUUGCUUCACAGAGCCCCAGGGGUUGACAAUAGGUGCCUUGGAGACUGCCUGCAUGGGGAUUUUUAAAAAGCUUUCUUUGUUAAAGGUUUGUAAACCACUCCUCUGAGCCUGUUUUCAUUUUAUAGAUUAUUCAGGGAACUGAACUGCACAGAGAUCCAGAAAGUGGGUAGUGCAGGCUGUAGUGCUGAUAACUACUGUACUACUUGGAUCUUUGUGCUCCCAAAUACCAAAUGGAAGAGGAUCUCUGAGAGUCCUUUGCAAAGAUCUUGUAGGGACUUUAGGCUGGGGCCUUCGGAAAAUUCCAGAGGAUUCCAAUGGAGAUUUUGAGGGACUGACUCAGAAGAACAAAGAGAAUGAUAAUGGUGAUGUCCCUGCUUUUUACAACAGAUCAUGUUCUGAUAUAUAUGCAAAUCUGUGUAAAGUAAACCCUACCUAAAAUGUACUGGGGACCCAAGAUGGACUGCCUGUAUUGCUUCCAGGAUAAAGUCCAAUUUCUAGCUCUGGUUUUUAUAACCUUGCUUCAGCUCACCUUUUCCGUCAUCAUCCCCUCCAUCUCCUCUCCCACGCUGGGAAAUGGAUGGCUGCACUAUACUGUGUGAUGUUAUUGCUAUGUUCAUGCCAUCCCCUCUGCCUGGAAUGCCCUUCUGCAUGAAUGCCUGUGAAAUGUUGUUGCUCCUUUGUAUGGCCUGGCUUCCGUGGUUGGCAGGAAUCUCUUCUUUCGUGGUAUUCCUGUCAUCUUUGUGCAUCACAGUCAGCUUUGUAUUCCUAGCUUGUAAGCUACUUGAGGAUAGGGGCAUGUCUGAAUCUAUUUAAUCUCUUGCACCUGUUUGGCAAAUUGAUGUUUUAAGUAUUUAAAUAACUAAAGCUCUCUCUACAGUACAUACUCACUUUUGAUUUAUGAAUUGGCAAAAUUCAACUUUUUUCCUUGAAUAUUCUUAAAGUGAGAUGAAUUCCAAAGGAGAGUGUUCUGUGUGUGGCCUUCAUUGAGUGGUUUUCUGUUACCAGAAAGCUCUUGGUGGCCUUCCUCUUCCCUGGUGUCAAGGUUGACUGUUAUAGGAAAUGGGAGGGGAGAGGGCCGUUUCUGCCACGCAUUGUCCUAGGUUCUUAACAUUAUUUAAUCCUUAUAAUGCAAUGUUAUCCUCAUUUUACAGAUGAAACCUGAGACCAAAGAACAUGUAACACAUAAAGUACAUUGCAGAGUUAGGAUGUGAACCCAACUCUGAUUCUAAACCUAAUGCUCUCACUCUUUCAUUCAGAGGUUCAGUCAGUUCUUUGUAGGCUGUAGAUCCAGAGAAGCUGCCGUAGCCAACAAUGAAGUUGUUAGUUUUUAAAACAUCUAUGUGGUAAGUUGGUCUGGCACUUAAAAAUGUAUUGUUUCCCAGGCACGGUGGUUCACACCUGUAAUCCCAGCAUUUUGGGAGGCCGAGGCAGGCGGAUCAUUAGGUCAAAAGAUUGAGACCAUCCUGACCAACAUGGUGAAACCCCGUCUCUACUAAAAGUACAAAAAUUAGCUGGGUGUGGUGGCGCAUGCCUCUAGUCCCAGCUACCUGGGAGGCUGAGGCAGGAGAAUUGCUUGAACCCAGGAGGCAGAGGUUGCAGUGAGCCAAGAUCAUGCUACUGCACUACAGCCUGGCAACAAAGCGAGACUCUGUCUAAAAUAUAUAUAUAUAUAUAUAUUGUUUACUACUCACCACAGAUCUGCAGGAGUUCACUGAUCUCUAGGAUCUGCCUUAACUCCAACUUACAUGUUUUGGUCACUAUUACAAACUGUCAUCCCAGAAUGAUGCUGCAGAGGCUAGGGCUAGGACACAGACCAGUGUUUCCAUGUGGGAAUUCCCUCCCAGUAUUUCUUAGGAAAUGUAUGUUUUUUGAAUCCAUAAUCCCUAGAAAAAUCAGUUGAGGAAAUGAGAAGUAUUGUAAUUAUUCUGUGAAUAGUAACACUUACCAUUAUGGAGACAUCACUAGUUUGAAAGAAUCCAACUUCAUCAAAUAUUAACGUACCGAGUUGAAGGCUACAAGAACUGAGACAGGAGCAUAGCAGAGAGAAACGGUCACCAUCUCAUUAGCCCUAUUUUUGGUUGUUGUGAUGCCAUUACAUCUGUAUAUCUGGCCAUAUCAGCUGCUAAUGGUGAGUUCUUGCAAACAAAAUGAUUUGAUAAACAACCUACCAUACUUUAUACAAAUCUUAUGGUGUUCCGAGAAAUAAACUUUGGAAGCAAAAUAA